CAGAGUUGCUGGGAUGUGAUCAAAGCUUACACAUGUUGGUCAAAAUCAUGGGGUCAGCACAGCAGCUGCUCAGUCCUCUCGACGCCUGGUUGGCUUACCAGAAGAGGCACGCAUGAAAAGCUUCACUGAAUUACUGAGGAUAAGGUAUGGAUUUAGGGUUGCGAGGCCUAUGCAAUUUGGGGGACCCCUCUAAGAAAAAAUACAAAAUGACCAUGAAAACACAAAACUAAGUUUCCUCCUCCCGCCUUGGAAUAAUCCCAGAUAAGGGAGGGUGUCUGAAGUUUAUGCUUCAUUCGCUGCAUGGAAAACCCACGUCUGCUUAAAAUCCGGUUGGCUACAUGAACUAAAAUAGAAACUCAAAUUAACAGUGGCAUAAACACCAUAGGAAUGUAUUUCUCUCUCAUGUUAUAGUCCAGAGAUAAGACACUCCUCAGGUGGUGGUGUGACUGCAUCAUGCAAGGUUCCUUUUAUCUUGUUACUCUGUCAUUCCUACAAUGUUGCCUUUGGCACCAAGACCCUGGUCCAGGCAGCAAGAUUGAGGAAGGGCUGGAAGGAUGGACUUGGGGACACGCUGUGCAAAGAGCAUUUAGAGCUUCUUACAAUCCCGUUGGUCGGAAUUCAGUCACAUGGCCUCCUUCAGCCUGGGGGACUUGAGAAAGGAAGGCUCUAUUCUGGGUGCUCAGGUACCUCAGUUAAAUGUCAGUGGUUUUAUUAUUGUAGAAGAAUAUCAGUAUUGGGGCAUCUAGCAUUUGCUGCCUCUCUCUCUGACUCAUUAACUCCUCCGCCGCCAGCUUUACUGAGGUCGAAUUGAUCUUACUUUUAAAUGUGCCAACUCAGAGCUUCGUUGUCUAGAACUACUGUCUUAAGGACUGAGAGACUGAAGUCCCUAAAAGCAUCAGAAAAACCUUAUACUGUAUAUGACUUUAGAAAAGUAAAGGCUUUUUAGAAGAAAGUAAAAUGAAAAGCUUCAUGGACUGCAGGGGUUCCCGCAUUUCUUUGUACGCAAACCAUACUUUCCAUUUCCCGUGAGGCCCCAGAAGACGUGACCGAGCACGAGAGGAGGGCGGUGCCAAGUGAGAUGAGGGCGGACCCGGGAGGGAGCUGCUGCCAAGGCCGCCUUUCCCCGCCCCCACCCCCGGAAUCCGAGAGAACUGGGGGGCAGAGAGAGGGAGGCCAGCUGACUCCAUUUGGCAUAAAGAACCCUAAAGCUUUUCUUUUUUUUUUUUUCCGGAUGGGGGGAAGCAGGAACGUAAAUACUGGAGGAAGGUUUGAAAAAGAGAAUCUGUACUUGAAUUGUUUGGAAGAGAGAAAUGGAGGGGAGGAUGAUCAGGGAAAUCUGAGUAGGUCUUCCUGACUCUCUGAGCUAUAUAUUCCUAGUAACAGCCCAGGCUUUCUGCUUGCGAGCCUGUCAACACUUCAGCGGCAGCGGAAGGUUCCUGGGAACCAUCCUUGGGCGUUUGGCAGGCGCGCCCAGGGCCAACUGUGUGCCCCUCCGGGCUGUUGGAUUUGGAAUUGCUCUUUUAGAAAUGCAUGGCAGGAACAAAGGGGCCCUGUUGGUUAUUUCCAUAUUCUGGAAGAAUCUCUGCCUUGAGUGAUGGUGUGGAGUUAAUGUGAUGUAAACUUCCCAUACUCACAGUUUUUUUUAAUUGUGAUUUUUGCAAGCUGAGUUUGAGAGGCAUUUGUUUGAAACGCGUACACACUUACAAAAGGGGUCUGUCUACCCAAAGAGGAGUUUGGACGCCGUUCCAAGCCUGGGUGUGGCAUAAACCUGCCCUGGUAAAGCAAAAAGGCACAGAAUGUGGACUGUAAAGAAUCAUCAUUACCCUCAAUUAUGGACGACAUUUCAACAACCUCUGUGCGUUUGUGGAGCUUACUAAACGAUCUUGAUAAAGAAGAGUGCUCUGUAAUAGAAAAAUCUGAUUAAAUCUAAGGAAAAUAAUUCUUAACCAGAUGGAGGGAAAAAAAUGUUGGCAAGGUCUGAACUUCUGUCAAUGGCUAAAAGUUAGGAUAAAAGAUUAAUAAAUUCUAAUACUUUAUUCAAACAAAGCGCUGUUUUAAAAAUACAUUUGGUCUAUGCAAAAAUACAAACUUAGGUUAUCUUCUGUAUUGAGUAAAUAAAUUGUAUAGUGCCUA
Molecule: non-coding RNA, 2133 nt
Organism: Vicugna pacos (alpaca)
Lineage: Eukaryota; Metazoa; Chordata; Mammalia; Artiodactyla; Camelidae
Source: RefSeq, a predicted model, not a curated record